This is a long non-coding RNA of Silurus meridionalis, 338 nucleotides long. RefSeq lists it as uncharacterized. The record is from RefSeq and is a predicted model, not a curated record. The transcript has 3 exons. NCBI's taxonomy places the organism in Eukaryota, Metazoa, Chordata, Actinopteri, Siluriformes, Siluridae.
UAAGACAAAUUUGAUGGUUGGUACAAACUUUUGACAAAUGCGGUCACGGCAUUUCAGAUCAUCCUCUAAAAUGUUGUUGCAGCACUAAAGUCUGUUUAAGGUACUGGGAGAAUGGCACCUGAAAGACAUCACAGUAAACUCUAUGCUUAUCUUGCUCUGGAGGAAUCAGUUAAAAUCCUGCAAGUCACUACCCCAUGCUGUGAAAGCUGAGCUCGAGGCUGCAGCACUGAUUAUGGACACCUCUCUUCCUCUGCCUACCAUCCACACUUCAGUGUUUCUCAUCCAGUCACAAACAUUUUCAUUAAAGAAAAGUACACAGGAUCCCUUGAAAUCUCUUU